RNAcentral lists this small nuclear RNA (24 nucleotides) under Arabidopsis thaliana (thale cress). Its description in RNAcentral is "snRNA_11621". The record is from RNAcentral. Lineage: Eukaryota; Viridiplantae; Streptophyta; Magnoliopsida; Brassicales; Brassicaceae.
UCAUCGCGCUUGGUUGAAAAGCCA